ACAGAGGUGGCGAGCGUUGUUCGGAUUUACUGGGCGUAAAGGGCGCGUAGGCUGCCGAGCUUGUCGGGUGUGAAAUCCCAGGGCCCAACCCUGGAAGUGCGCCCGAAACUGUUUGGCUGGAGUGCGGGAGGGGGGAUCGGAAUGCAGGGUGUAGCGGUGAAAUGCGUUGAUAUCCUGCAGAACACCGGUGGCGAAGGCGGAUCCCUGGAACGCAACUGACGCUGAGGCGCGAAAGCCGGGGGAGCAAACAG
RNAcentral lists this ribosomal RNA (251 nucleotides) under uncultured prokaryote. RNAcentral's name for it is "partial 16S rRNA". It matches the Rfam family "Bacterial small subunit ribosomal RNA", at positions 525 to 775 of the family's 1533-position model. The record is from RNAcentral.